GAAACAUAACUCAGUCGGUUAGAGCAUGGUGCUGAUAAUACCAAGGUUGCAGGUUCGAUCCCCCUACAGGACAGAUGCA
This is a non-coding RNA of Podarcis lilfordi (Lilford's wall lizard), 79 nucleotides long. The record is from the annotation of a GenBank genome assembly. Lineage: Eukaryota; Metazoa; Chordata; Lepidosauria; Squamata; Lacertidae.